GUCCUCGUAGCUCAGUUGGAUAGAGCGCAAGCUUGCGGAGCUUGAGGUCGCAGGUUCAAAUCCUGCCGAGGACGCCA
Molecule: transfer RNA, 77 nt
Filed under: bacterium
Lineage: Bacteria
Also listed under: 1 other name
Description: tRNA-Arg
Rfam family: tRNA
About the family: Transfer RNA (tRNA) molecules are approximately 80 nucleotides in length. Their secondary structure includes four short double-helical elements and three loops (D, anti-codon, and T loops). Further hydrogen bonds mediate the characteristic L-shaped molecular structure. tRNAs have two regions of fundamental functional importance: the anti-codon, which is responsible for specific mRNA codon recognition, and the 3' end, to which the tRNAs corresponding amino acid is attached (by aminoacyl-tRNA synthetases). tRNAs cope with the degeneracy of the genetic code in two manners: having more than one tRNA (with a specific anti-codon) for a particular amino acid; and 'wobble' base-pairing, i.e. permitting non-standard base-pairing at the 3rd anti-codon position.
Source: RNAcentral